AAGUCCCGUAACGAGCGCAACCCCUGCUGCUAGUUGCCAACGGUUCGGCCGGGCACUCUAGUGGGACUGCCGGUGAUAAACCGGAGGAAGGUGGGGAUGACGUCAAGUCCUCAUGGCCUUUAUGUCCAGGGCUACACACGUGCUACAAUGGCCGGUACAAACCGUUGCGAGAACGCAAGUUGGAGCAAAUCGGAUAAAGCCGGUCUCAGUUCGGAUUGGGGUCUGCAACUCGACCCCAUGAAGUUGGAAUCGCUAGUAAUCGCGGAUCAGCACGCCGCGGUGAAUACGUUCCCGGGCCUUGUACACACCGCCCGU
This 315-nucleotide ribosomal RNA is filed under the name uncultured soil bacterium. Its description in RNAcentral is "bacterial SSU rRNA". It matches the Rfam family "Bacterial small subunit ribosomal RNA", at positions 1082 to 1397 of the family's 1533-position model. The record is from RNAcentral.